Molecule: ribosomal RNA, 466 nt
Filed under: uncultured bacterium
Lineage: Bacteria
Description: partial 16S ribosomal RNA
Rfam family: Bacterial small subunit ribosomal RNA
Source: RNAcentral
GACGAACGCUGGCGGCGCGCCUAACACAUGCAAGUCGAACGAGCGAGCGAGAGCUUGCUUUCUCGAGCGAGUGGCGAACGGGUGAGUAACGCGUGAGGAACCUGCCUCAAAGAGGGGGACAACAGUUGGAAACGACUGCUAAUACCGCAUAAGCCCACGGCUCGGCAUCGAGCAGGGGGAAAAGGAGCAAUCCGCUUUGAGAUGGCCUCGCGUCCGAUUAGCUAGUUGGUGAGGUAACGGCCCACCAAGGCGACGAUCGGUAGCCGGACUGAGAGGUUGAACGGCCACAUUGGGACUGAGACACGGCCCAGACUCCUACGGGAGGCAGCAGUGGGGAAUAUUGCACAAUGGGGGAAACCCUGAUGCAGCGACGCCGCGUGGAGGAAGAAGGUCUUCGGAUUGUAAACUCCUGUUGUUGGGGAAGAUAAUGACGGUACCCAACAAGGAAGAGACGGCUAACUACGUG